Long non-coding RNA from Camelus dromedarius (Arabian camel), 311 nucleotides. RefSeq lists it as uncharacterized. NCBI's taxonomy places the organism in Eukaryota, Metazoa, Chordata, Mammalia, Artiodactyla, Camelidae. The transcript is spliced from 3 exons. The record is from RefSeq and is a predicted model, not a curated record.
AAUAAAUCAUGAUAAUUCUAUUCUACUGGGUUUUCUUGCCAAUAUGAGAAAUUGCUUCAUCUCCUUUUAGUUACUUUAAAGCAGAUGACUGAGCAGAGCAAGAAUUUGGAGAAUGAAAACAGAGAACUUGCAGAAAAUAUAUCUGCUUGGGUGCAGAAGACCAACAACGCAAAGAAAUGCUUAGAGGAGGCCAUCAGGCAAAAGAAGAUGCCCUCUGAGAAAGCACUGAAGUUUAAGAGCUUGGAAGCCAUUGAGAAGGUGAAUGAAAAUUUGAAUGACAUCAUUCAGAUUGUUCGAGCUAAGCUGCAGGC